GAUCAUGGCUCAGGAUGAACGCUAGCGGCAGGCUUAACACAUGCAAGUCGGAGGGGGCAGCGGGGUGUAGCAAUACACUGCCGGCGACCGGCGCACGGGUGCGUAACGCGUAUGCAACCUACCCAUAACAGGGGCAUAACACUGAGAAAUUGGUACUAAUUCCCCAUAACAUUCGAAGAGGCAUCUCUUUGGGUUGAAAACUCCGGUGGUUAUGGAUGGGCAUGCGUUGUAUUAGCUAGUUGG
Molecule: ribosomal RNA, 243 nt
Filed under: uncultured bacterium
Lineage: Bacteria
Description: partial 16S ribosomal RNA
Rfam family: Bacterial small subunit ribosomal RNA
Source: RNAcentral